This 396-nucleotide ribosomal RNA is filed under the name Salmonella enterica subsp. enterica serovar Enteritidis. Its description in RNAcentral is "partial 23S ribosomal RNA". It matches the Rfam family "Bacterial large subunit ribosomal RNA", at positions 1441 to 1848 of the family's 2925-position model. Lineage: Bacteria; Pseudomonadati; Pseudomonadota; Gammaproteobacteria; Enterobacterales; Enterobacteriaceae. The record is from RNAcentral.
GUACUAGAGUAUAUAGUGAUGGAGGGACGCAGUAGGCUAACUAAACCAGACGAUUGGAAGUGUCUGGCCAAGCAGUGAGGUGUGAUAUGAGUCAAAUGCUUAUAUCUUUAACAUUGAGCUGUGAUGGGGAGCGAAGUUUAGUAGCGAAGUUAGUGAUGUCACACUGCCGAGAAAAGCUUCUAGCGUUAAUUAUACUCUACCCGUACCGCAAACCGACACAGGUAGUCGAGGCGAGUAGCCUCAGGUGAGCGAGAGAACUCUCGUUAAGGAACUCGGCAAAAUGGCCCCGUAACUUCGGGAGAAGGGGCGCUGACUGAUGGUCAGCCGCAGUGAAUAGGCCCAAGCAACUGUUUAUCAAAAACACAGCUCUCUGCUAAAUCGUAAGAUGAUGUAUAG